RNAcentral lists this ribosomal RNA (254 nucleotides) under uncultured bacterium. Its description in RNAcentral is "partial 16S ribosomal RNA". It matches the Rfam family "Bacterial small subunit ribosomal RNA", at positions 524 to 776 of the family's 1533-position model. The record is from RNAcentral.
UACAGAGGGUGCUAGCGUUGUUCGGAAUUAUUGGGCGUAAAGGGCGCGUAGGCGGUAUCGCAUGUCCGAUGUGAAAGCCCCACCUCUUAAAGGUGGAAUUGCAUCGGAAACUGCGAAACUAGAGUGCCGGAGAGGGUGGUGGAAUUCCUGGUGUAGAGGUGAAAUUCGUAGAUAUCAGGAGGACACCGGUGGCGAAGGCGGUUCUCUGGGCCUUACCUGACGCUGGAGGAGCGAAAGCGUGGGGAGCGAACAGG